Molecule: long non-coding RNA, 1439 nt
Organism: Uranotaenia lowii
Lineage: Eukaryota; Metazoa; Arthropoda; Insecta; Diptera; Culicidae
Exons: 5
Source: RefSeq, a predicted model, not a curated record
UCGUUGAUCGAUUCUUAAUUUACCGAGGUUCGUCUAGAUGUAUGUAAACAAAUCGUUUGUCAUUAACUGUUCGGUAAAAAAACGCCGAAAAAACUGUAAAUUAAUUCUGCCGUCAUGUGUCGUUGUCAAAACUGUCUCUUUCUGGUAUCUUCAAUGUAAAGGCAUCUCGCUUGAGCCUCCUUUCUCGCUCAUACAACCGUGUUCAAUCGUCUCGAGUUUAAUCGUGUGCUCCAUUUAUAACCACACAAGCGUCGCCAUUUUCGUCGGUUCGCGUGUGAAAUUGUGUGGCUUGCAUGUAUUAUGUAUUUUGGUGUAAAUGAAUGUAGCUGGUAACGUGGGCGAAACGAUAAUACCGCCGGCACAGAAAUUAUCCGAAGUGGCGGUCGUAACAAUCGUCUUCCGGGCGAUCACAACCUCCAUCAUCAAUAGCAGCAACAUUCUGAGCUCCAGCGAUCAUGUUUUCCGCAUAAUCCGGAAGAAGUGCUGUUUCUAAAUACCGGAAGAUUAAAUAAUAACACAACAGCGGUUGUGGUCAAAGCCAAAGAACGGAUUGUUGGACACAGUUUCGAGCACCUUUAAACCAGAACUUUCUGAAUUUGAUCCCAAAUCGCCACAGUGUGGUUCGCAUCCGGUAGCUGAUUCGGUUUAUGGGUGAAAGCAGCAGCAACAACAGGAGGAGCUGGUGGUGUCGGAUGUGAUAACACCCAUUAUUUCCAGCACAAUAAACAGCAACACCAGAAUGUCACUUCCCGCUCUCGAUUACUUUCUACAUGCGAUUGACGGUAAUCAACUAUCAUCAGAAUCUGGAUGGAGUAUCUGAUGUGACGAGAAGAGCACCCGGUAUGAGAGAGGAGGUCACGACAAUUGCAUCAAAACCCGAAUCUCGGCCACGGCUCAUGGUGGUAGGCAGCAUCGACCAGCCGGAGCUGUAACAUCGGAUUUUUCGUUAAUUGCCUGUAAGAAGCCUGCCUUCUAUGAACACCGAGCGUUCGCUAUUAUGUAUAUGUAUAUAGUAAUGAUUCCUUCAAGCUGGUGGAACUAGUAAAACUAUGUCCGACGAAAGGAAAAAAUACUCCAAAAUCCAUAUUCGGGAAUAAUCUCGUUCAAAUAAAGGCUUCAAUUCCAAAAUGAGAUUACUGCCUACUGGAUGGAAAACAGACUCAAUUUUUAACGAAUAUUGUAUUAUCUUGGUCUAGAUGUGCGGAGGCAUUGAGAAAUUAUAGCUAAAGCUCCCUGCAUCGCAUGUUAUCAAAUGGGAAAAAAUCAAACUACGGAUUUUCUGAACAAUGUGGAUUGGAUUGAAAAACAAUCCUCUACGGAAAAUAAAACAUGACAUCGAAGUGUGGAAGAUCGAAACGAUCGCCGAGAACAAAUGAUGCAAACCAUAUGUCGUAUCACUCAUACAAGGAUCAAGGAAGGACAUCUUUGUAAAAGAAAUC